UAGGGAAUCUUCCACAAUGGACGCAAGUCUGAUGGAGCAACACCGCGUGAGUGAAGAAGGGUUUCGGCUCGUAAAGCUCUGUUGUUAAAGAAGAACACGUAUGAGAGUAACUGUUCAUACGUUGACGGUAUUUAACCAGAAAGUCACGGCUAACUACGUGUCAG
RNAcentral lists this ribosomal RNA (164 nucleotides) under uncultured bacterium. RNAcentral's name for it is "partial 16S rRNA". It matches the Rfam family "Bacterial small subunit ribosomal RNA", at positions 355 to 511 of the family's 1533-position model. The record is from RNAcentral.